Molecule: ribosomal RNA, 427 nt
Filed under: uncultured bacterium
Lineage: Bacteria
Description: bacterial SSU rRNA
Rfam family: Bacterial small subunit ribosomal RNA
Source: RNAcentral
UGGGGAAUUUUGGACAAUGGGCGCAAGCCUGAUCCAGCAAUGCCGCGUGCAGGAUGAAGGCCUUCGGGUUGCAAACUGCUUUUGUACGGAGCGAAAAGGUCUGCCCUAAUACGGUGGGCUCAUGACGGUACCGUAAGAAUAAGCACCGGCUAACUACGUGCCAGCAGCCGCGGUAAUACGUAGGGUGCGAGCGUUAAUCGGAAUUACUGGGCGUAAAGCGUGCGCAGGCGGUUAUAUAAGACAGAUGUGAAAUCCCCGGGCUCAACCUGGGACCUGCAUUUGUGACUGUAUAGCUAGAGUACGGUAGAGGGGGAUGGAAUUCCACGUGUAGCAGUGAAAUGCGUAGAUAUGCGGAGGAACACCGAUGGCGAAGGCAAUCCCCUGGACCUGUACUGACGCUCAUGCAAGAAAGCGUGGGGAGCAAACA